Molecule: ribosomal RNA, 443 nt
Filed under: uncultured bacterium
Lineage: Bacteria
Description: partial 16S ribosomal RNA
Rfam family: Bacterial small subunit ribosomal RNA
Source: RNAcentral
CCUACGGGAGGCAGCAGUGGGGAAUAUUGGGCAAUGGGCGCAAGCCUGACCCAGCAACGCCGCGUGAAGGAAGAAGGCUCUCGGGUUGGAAACUUCUUUUAUUAGGGACGAAGCAAGUGACGUGUCCUGAUGUAUAAGCCACGGAUAACUACGUGCAAGCAGUCGCGGGAAUACGUAGGUGGCAAGCGUUAUCCGGAUUUACUGGGUGUAAAGGGAGUGUAGGCGGGAUUGCAAGUCAGAUGUGAAAACUAUGGGCUCAACCCAUAGCCUGCAUUUGAAACUGGACUUCUUGAGUGCUGGAGAGGCAAUCGGAAUUCGGUGUGUAGCGGUGAAAUGCGUAGAUAUACGGAAGAACACCAGUUGCGAAGGCAGAUUGCUGGACAGUAACUGACGCUGAGGCUCGAAAGCGUGGGUAGCAAACAGGAUUAGAUACCCGAGUAGUC